UAAAUUAAAACGCAGAUGCAAACAGAAAGGUAAGCACAAAUGUAGAAACCGGAAUCAAAUACAAAAUAAAAGCGGUUGGUCAUUAACUNAAUUACUAUGCUUCCAAUCACAGAUUAACAACAAGUACAUACUACUCUUAUCCAAAUCCGACACGAAUCAGCCAACUAAACGAAGGCUAAUUCGGUCUUCAAAAUUGCAAACUAAGCGAAUGCAAUGCACAAAUCUAAUCAGUCAUGCACCAUACAGUCUAAGCAACUAAGCGAAG
This 265-nucleotide long non-coding RNA is filed under the name Vigna radiata. Its description in RNAcentral is "long non-coding RNA (VRAD_LNC015480)". Lineage: Eukaryota; Viridiplantae; Streptophyta; Magnoliopsida; Fabales; Fabaceae. The record is from RNAcentral.